Phyllostomus discolor (pale spear-nosed bat) is the source of this 144-nucleotide small nucleolar RNA. RefSeq annotates it as small nucleolar RNA SNORA57. Lineage: Eukaryota; Metazoa; Chordata; Mammalia; Chiroptera; Phyllostomidae. The transcript has a single exon. The record is from RefSeq and is a predicted model, not a curated record.
CCUCCUUGGUGGGGGUUGGGCGUGUGGUCCCAGUCCCCGUAAUGUACGGAGGGAGAGGGAAAGGGCUCUGGGACCCUCGGCAUCAUGCCUUCGGUGCCCAUGGUUUGCAGUCCACUGGUUCUAUCCUCUAGCGCGGGGACACAG